CUCUUAUACUCCAGGGCUCUAUACACAGUAUAACGUGCAGUGACAAUUCAACACUUGGAGAGUAAUCUGGGAUCAAAUACACUCUAUUCUAGGCAUUGAUUCAUACAGUUCAAUAUUACAAAACGUGACACCAAAGACACAUUUUCGACUGCAACAACUUGAUCAGCCUUCAAAUCAAUGCACAAAAAAUGAAUUCUUCCAAGUACCACCAGAGAUGUCUCAAGUACCACCAGUGGUACGCGUACCACAGUUUGAGCACCACUGCAGUAGAUAGUCCCGAAGUUUUGUCAGUGACACUGGACUGCCAAUGGAUUCAUACAUCAGACCAGGCCCGCCAACAGAGGGGGACAAAGGGGUACGUUGUCCCGGGCCAAGGAGAUAUGGUUGGUUCCCCCAUUACAUUGUAUGUAGUAUUUAGUCGGGUGCCCUUUCAGAUAACUUUGUCCUGGGCCAAGCAAAAGCUGUCAGCGCCCCUGCAUCCAACCAUCUAUCCAACCAACCCACCAGCUAAGCUGGCAGGAGCCAGCCACGGGGGCUCGACUGUGCAUUGUCCAUGUGAUUGCACAAUAAUCAAAAGGCAGCACUGUGCUCUGCAAAACAGCACAAUGUGAGCGGGGGAGUGAUCAUCAGCCAAUCAAUAUCCUGGGGGUGUGAAAACAAGCCAGGACAGCACAGUUGCUAUGCUAUGUAGGAAGGUAGAGAUAUCGCUGUCUCGAACUUUUAAGAAUACAUAAUGUCGAUUUUGUAAUCAUUGGCAUCCUUUUUUUAGGCAGCGAGUUGAAAAAUAAAAGCAAAGGAGGAAAAAAA
Molecule: long non-coding RNA, 807 nt
Organism: Engraulis encrasicolus (European anchovy)
Lineage: Eukaryota; Metazoa; Chordata; Actinopteri; Clupeiformes; Engraulidae
Exons: 3
Source: RefSeq, a predicted model, not a curated record